RNAcentral lists this ribosomal RNA (424 nucleotides) under uncultured Saprospiraceae bacterium. RNAcentral's name for it is "bacterial SSU rRNA". It matches the Rfam family "Bacterial small subunit ribosomal RNA", at positions 355 to 776 of the family's 1533-position model. The record is from RNAcentral. Lineage: Bacteria; Pseudomonadati; Bacteroidota; Saprospiria; Saprospirales; Saprospiraceae.
UAAGGAAUAUUGGACAAUGCCCGAAAGGGUGAUCCAGCUAUCCCGCGUGCAGGAUGAAGGCCCUCUGGGUUGUAAACUGCUUUUAUAAAGGAAGAAACGUACUGAUUUAUUGGUAUUUGACGGUACUUUAUGAAUAAGCACCGGCUAACUCCGUGCCAGCAGCCGCGGUAAUACGGAGGGUGCAAGCGUUAUCCGGAAUCACUGGGUUUAAAGGGUGCGUAGGCGGCUUGAUAAGUCAGGGGUGAAAGCUCACUGCUCAACAGUGGAAUUGCCUUUGAUACUGUCAGGCUAGAAUCGGCACGAGGCAGGCGGAAUGUGACAUGUAGCGGUGAAAUGCUUAGAUAUGUCAUAGAACACCAAUUGCGAAGGCAGCUUGCCAGAGUCGCAUUGACGCUGAGGCACGAAAGCGUGGGGAGCGAACAGG